RNAcentral lists this ribosomal RNA (475 nucleotides) under uncultured organism. RNAcentral's name for it is "partial 16S ribosomal RNA". It matches the Rfam family "Bacterial small subunit ribosomal RNA", at positions 333 to 799 of the family's 1533-position model. The record is from RNAcentral.
ACACUCCUGCGGGAGGCAGCAGUGGGGAAUAUUGCACAAUGGGCGCAAGCCUGAUGCAGCCAUGCCGCGUGUAUGAAGAAGGCCUUCGGGUUGUAAAGUACUUUCAGCGGGGAGGAAGGCAAUACGGUUAAUAACCGUGUUGAUUGACGUUACCCGCAGAAGAAGCACCGGCUAACUCCGUGCCAGCAGCCGCGGUAAUACGGAGGGUGCAAGCGUUAAUCGGAAUUACUGGGCGUAAAGCGCACGCAGGCGGUCUGUCAAGUCGGAUGUGAAAUCCCCGGGCUCAACCUGGGAACUGCAUUCGAAACUGGCAGGCUUGAGUCUUGUAGAGGGGGGUAGAAUUCCAGGUGUAGCGGUGAAAUGCGUAGAGAUCUGGAGGAAUACCGGUGGCGAAGGCGGCCCCCUGGACAAAGACUGACGCUCAGGUGCGAAAGCGUGGGGAGCAAACAGGAUUAGAAACCCUAGUAGUCCCAUG